ACUCAAAUGAAUUGACGGGGACCCGCACAAGCAGCGGAGCGUGUGGUUUAAUUCGAUGCGACGCGAAGAACCUUACCAGGGUUUGACAUGUAGUCGCACCACCCUGAAAAGGGUGUUCCUUCGGGACGGCUACACAGGUGCUGCAUGGCUGUCGUCAGCUCGUGCCGUGAGGUGUUGGGUUAAGUCCCGCAACGAGCGCAACCCUUAUUGUUAGUUAAUUUCACUAACGAGACUGCCCCGAUCAACGGGGAGGAAGGUGGGGAUGACGUCAAGUCAGCACGGCCCUUACAUCCUGGGCAACACACACGCUACAAUGGCCGGUACAGAGGGCCGCUAACCCGCGAGGGGGUGCGAAUCUCACAAAACCGGUCUCAGUUCGGAUUGUAGGCUGCAACCCGCCUGCAUGAAGCUGGAGUUGCUAGUAACCGUGGGUCAGCACACCACGGUGAAUACGUUCCCGGGUCUUGUACACACCGCCCGU
This 481-nucleotide ribosomal RNA is filed under the name uncultured bacterium. RNAcentral's name for it is "partial 16S ribosomal RNA". It matches the Rfam family "Bacterial small subunit ribosomal RNA", at positions 899 to 1397 of the family's 1533-position model. The record is from RNAcentral.